RNAcentral lists this ribosomal RNA (120 nucleotides) under uncultured bacterium. Its description in RNAcentral is "partial 16S ribosomal RNA". It matches the Rfam family "Bacterial small subunit ribosomal RNA", at positions 29 to 161 of the family's 1533-position model. The record is from RNAcentral.
AGCGAACGCUGGCGGCAGGCCUAAUACAUGCAAGUCGAGCGCACCUUCGGGUGAGCGGCGGACGGGUGAGUAACGCGUGGGAACGUGCCCUUUGGUACGGAACAACUGAGGGAAACUUCA